This 408-nucleotide unclassified non-coding RNA is filed under the name Hevea brasiliensis (rubber tree). Lineage: Eukaryota; Viridiplantae; Streptophyta; Magnoliopsida; Malpighiales; Euphorbiaceae. The record is from RNAcentral.
GAUAAUUCCACACUUGUAGCCUAUCCCUUCCCCUGCCACCCAUAUUUCUCUUCCUUUCUUAAUUUCCUUAUGAGAGUCCCUUUGUCACCUCUUCUUCCUCAAAAAGCUUUAAUUAAUUUUUUCAAAAAUAGUAUUAACAAUAAUGCAAUAAUUAAAUGAAAGUAUGUCUCUGGGUUGGCUGUAUCAUAAUGAAGUUCCCAUUUAGUGAUAAAAGGCAAGGAAAGGAGAAACAGUACUAGAUUCAUGAACAAGGACCCAACAAAAUGUGAAGUGUGAUGUGUGAAGCUUAGUGAUUACUAUAACAAGCCUAUGAUACACGGAUCACUUAGCAAGAAACCUGAUACAAAGACUACGCAUUCCUAAAUCAGAUGAACUCUAAAAUAAUAUCAUGAUGUUUAUUUGUGAACA